This 441-nucleotide ribosomal RNA is filed under the name Klebsiella pneumoniae. RNAcentral describes it as "partial 23S ribosomal RNA". It matches the Rfam family "Bacterial large subunit ribosomal RNA", at positions 1 to 472 of the family's 2925-position model. The record is from RNAcentral. Lineage: Bacteria; Pseudomonadati; Pseudomonadota; Gammaproteobacteria; Enterobacterales; Enterobacteriaceae.
GGGUUGUGAGGUUAAGCGACUAAGCGUACACGGUGGAUGCCCUGGCAGUCAGAGGCGAUGAAGGACGUGCUAAUCUGCGAAAAGCGUCGGUAAGGUGAUAUGAACCGUUAUAACCGGCGAUGUCCGAAUGGGGAAACCCAGUGCAAUUCGUUGCACUAUCGUUAACUGAAUACAUAGGUUAACGAGGCGAACCGGGGGAACUGAAACAUCUAAGUACCCCGAGGAAAAGAAAUCAACCGAGAUUCCCCCAGUAGCGGCGAGCGAACGGGGAGCAGCCCAGAGUCUGAAUCAGCUUGUGUGUUAGUGGAACGGUCUGGAAAGUCCGACGGUACAGGGUGAUAGUCCCGUACACCAAAAUGCACAGGCUGUGAACUCGAAGAGUAGGGCGGGACACGUGGUAUCCUGUCUGAAUAUGGGGGGACCAUCCUCCAAGGCUAAAUA